Long non-coding RNA from Leopardus geoffroyi (Geoffroy's cat), 1607 nucleotides. RefSeq lists it as uncharacterized. The transcript has 2 exons. Lineage: Eukaryota; Metazoa; Chordata; Mammalia; Carnivora; Felidae. The record is from RefSeq and is a predicted model, not a curated record.
GAGAGAUCUGACUUCAUUCCUUCACUUGCCUCUUAAUUCCGGCUGUCGGUUCACUGUCCUUGCUUCCUGACCGGGGAGACAAGCGUCUUAAACAAACCCAAACCUCUGAGAACACAGGGGGUGAGGCAGGGCAGCCGGGCCUUGUGCACAGCGCUGCCAGGCGGAUUUGGGACCGGAGAGGCUGGGACAGAGGGACAAUCAAAUCUAGAGAGAACGGCAGGUCAGUCUGAAGAGGGAGGCCAAGGAUUGGAGUUUAAGAGGGGGAAUUCAACAUAGAAACCAGAAGUGACAAAGGAAAAGAAUGACAACUCUGACCACAUAGACACGAAAACCUUCCAAAGACAGACACCAAACCGGAUAAACACACGAACCCCCCCUCAACAAGGCUGAAACUGAAAUGAUGAGCUGAGGAAAUAUUUGUAACCUAUCGACCAUGACAAAGGGUUCAAUCCAUUGUGUAAAAAGACCUUACAGAUCAGUAAGAAAAAAGCAAACAAAUAGCAAUUUGGAAAAGGACAAAAAGGCCGUGCGCAGAAGUGCCCACAGGCAUCCAGCAUAACGCCGAACACGGAAUCCUGUCGAAGAGGCAGGAAGCAAAAUGACAAGAUGCCACUCUGCCCAACAGGCUGGCACAGAUUUAAAAGUGAAUACCCAGUAUUGCCGAGGAUGUGGGGAAAGAGCCCUAUGGGUCAGAGUAUGACUCCGUGCAGUGUCUUGGGGCGGGAGGGGGGCAACUUGGCAACGUCUAUCAAGUUCUAGAAUUGUCACAUGUGCUUCUCCUUUGAUCUAAGAAUCUUUAUCGUCUGCAAUACCAGGAAGUACCCAGGUGUCACCUGUCCCCACUCUGACCCUAUGCCAGAAGGUGGGAUGUUCCAAUUGUCUUAAAAAGGUGGGAUGCCCCAGACCUAGUGUGGUUUUCUCAGUGAUAUAAAAGGGUCACCUCCUUGCAGUCGACUUUGUGAGCAGGACCAUGUGGCCCUGUUGAGGGAGACGCUGGGAAGAGAGAACCCUGUUGUUUCACUUAGGACCAAACCUUGAAGACCUGUGGUGACAUCUCUAUUCAUUAGGAACUGUGUCCAAUGACAAGUAGAAGAGACCUGGAAAAUAGUGGCUUAGAUAAAAAUAGAGGUUUAUUUUCGCAGGCCACAGAAGUCAGGGAGUCCCAGGACAGUUCUAGCCCAUUCUCAUGAACCUACAAUCCUUCUGUCUCUCUGCUCUGUUAUAUUCAGUUUGACUCCAUCCUCAAGGUCACAAAAUGGUCACUGGAGUGCCAGCCAUCGUGUAUACACUCCAGGCAGGAAGAAGAAGGAAGAAAACCAAAAGGGCACCCGCUGUUUUCUUUUUGGAGCUUUCCUGGAAAACCUGCCCAGCAGCCUCUGCUUCUAUCUCAUCAGCCAUCUUUAUUGGCUUGGGAAGUGGGAAAUAGAAGUCUUUUGGCUGCUCACCUGGUCACUUUGAGCAGGCUCUUGUUCCACAUCCAAUCCCAGUUUUCUUUUACCUUGUUUGGGAUAUUGAGGGACAAGGAACUCUCUGAUGCUUGCAACUGCUAAAAGCAAGUCAGCUUGAUUUCUGAAACAAAAUGCUUUAAAACAGGGGCUUUGCUAAUG